Molecule: long non-coding RNA, 886 nt
Filed under: Cricetulus griseus (Chinese hamster)
Lineage: Eukaryota; Metazoa; Chordata; Mammalia; Rodentia; Cricetidae
Description: lncRNA (ENSCGRG00015033305.1)
Source: RNAcentral
CAGACACUUCAGCGUGUCCCUCCCUUGGGACGUUCAUAUCCACAGGGCUGACAGGAUGGCUCAGCUGCUGUGGAAUAUUCCUUUACACUGCAUGAAGAUGUGUCACUGUGCUUGGUUUAAUAAAAAGCUGGUGGCCAAUAGAUAGGCAGGAUUUCCAGAGACAGAAGAUGCUGGGAAGAAGAAGGGAUGAGAAGCCAAGAUGCAGGGUAGCAGGAUGGCCAGCGUGUAAUGAGCAUUCUCCUCGUCUCCUAGUCCUGCCUAUCUUCCUGCGCUACUGGCCAAACAGCGUUUUAUUCAUCAACCUGUAAGAGAAAGCUAUAAACAGAAGGACACCCCCGUCAGCUCGUACUGUAUUACAUAAACAGGAAGUAAAUCGUAACAGGUAUAAAGAAAGCAAGUGCUCCAAGCAAGUGCUCCUCCCAUGCGACAGAGACACCGUUACCUGCAGAGUUCAAGGUCUGCUUUUAAGAGUAAGGAGAAAAGUGUGGAAAGCUUGCCAGCACCAAGGAACCUUCUCCCAUGGUGAAAGAAGAGAGGAACUAAAGAUUAUGUGUGCACUGGCUCCUUGCGAUAUGACCCGGUAUCCAAAUAUGAAUCUUUGUGAAAUACUAACUUAGGCUGCCCUGGAUGAGGUUGGUCCUGGUGUGUUCCAUGCCAUGUGUGGUCUCAGGAGCAUAGCACUACAAUGGGCACGCUCACUAAGACAUCUGAGCUGGGAUUCACUGGGGACUCCUAUGUAGUCAACGGUUUCUACAGAAGGUCUGAAAGCAAAUAUUCCUGAUGUGAAUUAUUCAGGCUUUGCAUGACAGCCCUGCAGUGCAGUGUAGUCUUUAGGUGUUGCAGCCACAGAAAAGAAGGGGUCAAUGACCGGACAUGACCAGGUUUU